RNAcentral lists this ribosomal RNA (465 nucleotides) under uncultured bacterium. RNAcentral's name for it is "partial 16S ribosomal RNA". It matches the Rfam family "Bacterial small subunit ribosomal RNA", at positions 28 to 507 of the family's 1533-position model. The record is from RNAcentral.
GACGAACGCUGGCGGCGUGCUUAACACAUGCAAGUCGAACGGAAAGGCCCUGCUUGCAGGGUACUCGAGUGGCGAACGGGUGAGUAACACGUGGGUGAUCUGCCCUGCACUUCGGGAUAAGCCUGGGAAACUGGGUCUAAUACCGGAUAGGAGCCAUUUUUAGUGUGAUGGUUGGAAAGUUUUUUCGGUGUAGGAUGAGCUCGCGGCCUAUCAGCUUGUUGGUGGGGUAAUGGCCUACCAAGGCGGCGACGGGUAGCCGGCCUGAGAGGGUGGACGGCCACAUUGGGACUGAGAUACGGCCCAGACUCCUACGGGAGGCAGCAGUGGGGAAUAUUGCACAAUGGGCGCAAGCCUGAUGCAGCGACGCCGCGGGGGGGAUGACGGCCUUCGGGUUGGAAACUCAUUUCGCUAGGGACGAAGCUUUUUGUGACGGUACCUAGAUAAGAAGCACCGGCUAACUACGUG